This is a non-coding RNA of Schistosoma rodhaini, 78 nucleotides long. NCBI's taxonomy places the organism in Eukaryota, Metazoa, Platyhelminthes, Trematoda, Strigeidida, Schistosomatidae. The record is from Rfam.
AGCCUUCUUUAUUCGCGCUGAGAUUUCGUCAAACACCAGACCACAAGGGCUGAUGAAACUCCCAAGAUAAGCAAAGCG